This 636-nucleotide unclassified non-coding RNA is filed under the name Hevea brasiliensis (rubber tree). Lineage: Eukaryota; Viridiplantae; Streptophyta; Magnoliopsida; Malpighiales; Euphorbiaceae. The record is from RNAcentral.
ACUUUUAAUGUAAUCAGGAUAGCAUUAAAUGCCAUAACAAAAGAAUACCCCAAACGAGAUUUGGAAAAUAAGAAGAGAACAUCACUUUGGUUUCAGUAGCCAAAAACUAGAUUGUUAUUGAACUUCAAAAUUCCAGACCUGAAUAUAUAAACCAAUAGAAGCAAGCAAUUAUCUCACCAACCCAACAAGCAAAAGUGGAAAACUAAGGACCCAUUAAUGCAUGUACUGCAAAGAAGUACAAAACAGACGGCUGUAAUUUGCAGUACAGAGUACAGACUACUCAAACUCUUCCAACCGUGAUGCUACACAUAUCAAACACUUGUGAGGCCAUUAAUUUUGAUCCCUUCUCGUUGACUUAGAAUCUUUUCACCACUUUCUUUCGAGUUUGGAAUUGAUAUCACAAAAAAGAAAAAGCAAAAAGUUGGGUAUGAUGGUAAUGGGAGUGGCUAUAAAGGAGAGGGAGAGAAUUAGGACAAACACCUUCAUCAUCAGUGAUCACUUCACUUCAAAAGUAUUUGUUCUUUGAUCGGGGCGUUAGACAAUUUGAAACCAACUAUGAGAGUGGCAGUACAGCAAUUUUCAAGGUCCAGAGAGAGCUCGUGAGAGGAUUGUUUAGAUUGCUGGCGGGUGGACCCA